AUGCCACGCUCUCCUUCUCGUUGGCAUCGUGCUGACGGCGUGGCUACGCGGGUGCAUGGCGACCGACGGGUUUACCGUGGAGUUGAUCCACCGGGACUCUGUCAGUCGCCGUUCCAUGACCCGUCGCUCACCUCACACGCCCGCCUGCUUGCCGCCGUGCGGCGUUCCACGGCGCGCGCCUCGGCUCUCGCGCGCUCGUACGCCGGCGACUCUCCUCACGGCGCCGUGUCGGAGGUCGUCUCCAGGCCGUACGAGUACUUCAUGUACGUCAACGCGGGCACGCCGCCCACCAGGAUGCUCGCCGUCGUCGACACCGGCAGCAGCCUCAUCUGGCUUAAAUGCACCAACUCCGGCGUGUGCCACGCACUCUACGGCACCUGCGGUGCCAACUCCAGCUGCAAGUACGCCCACUUCUACGCCGACGGCUCGCAGACAUCCGGCCUCCUCUCCGCCGAGACUUUCAUCUUCGCCGAUGCCCCCGGCGGUUGCGUGGGGUGCCCCGACCGUCCGCAGCUGCUCGUGCCAAGGGUCAACUUCGGCUGCUCCACGGCCGGCGCGGCCUUCCCGGACGGCGUCCACGGCAUCGUCGGUCUCGACAGCGGCGACCUCUCCCUCGUCACGCAGCUCGGCGCCGACACGUCCAUGGGCCGGGAGCAACUACAAUAG
RNAcentral lists this ribosomal RNA (666 nucleotides) under Triticum aestivum (bread wheat). RNAcentral describes it as "partial small subunit ribosomal RNA". Lineage: Eukaryota; Viridiplantae; Streptophyta; Magnoliopsida; Poales; Poaceae. The record is from RNAcentral.